Molecule: ribosomal RNA, 477 nt
Filed under: uncultured Marinomonas sp.
Lineage: Bacteria; Pseudomonadati; Pseudomonadota; Gammaproteobacteria; Oceanospirillales; Oceanospirillaceae
Description: bacterial SSU rRNA
Rfam family: Bacterial small subunit ribosomal RNA
Source: RNAcentral
GGCGGACGGGUGAGUAACGCGUAGGAAUCUGCCUAGUAGUGGGGGACAACAUGUGGAAACGCAUGCUAAUACCGCAUACGCCCUACGGGGGAAAGGAGGGGAUCUUAGGACCUUUCGCUAUUAGAUGAGCCUGCGUGAGAUUAGCUAGUUGGUGAGGUAAAGGCUCACCAAGGCGACGAUCUCUAGCUGGUCUGAGAGGAUGAUCAGCCACACUGGGACUGAGACACGGCCCAGACUCCUACGGGAGGCAGCAGUGGGGAAUAUUGGACAAUGGGCGCAAGCCUGAUCCAGCCAUGCCGCGUGUGUGAAGAAGGCCUUAGGGUUGUAAAGCACUUUCAGGAGUGAGGAAGGGUGUACGGUUAAUACCCGUAUAUUUUGACGUUAGCUCCAGAAGAAGCACCGGCUAACUCUGUGCCAGCAGCCGCGGUAAUACAGAGGGUGCAAGCGUUAAUCGGAAUUACUGGGCGUAAAGCGCGC